This is a long non-coding RNA of Lotus japonicus, 1828 nucleotides long. RefSeq lists it as uncharacterized. The transcript has 7 exons. NCBI's taxonomy places the organism in Eukaryota, Viridiplantae, Streptophyta, Magnoliopsida, Fabales, Fabaceae. The record is from RefSeq and is a predicted model, not a curated record.
UCUCCAAUUUACUUCUCAUUUUCGAAAAUCUCUUCCCAUUUCCCUCAACUUCUCUUCCCCGAAUUUGCACCCCAUCACCCAAAUCAAUUUGCACAGCUUCACUGGCCUCAAUUUUCCUCUCAAUCUCUCAAACAUAACCUACUCGUUGUUGCUCAAGCUCUCGUUGGAUCUGUGCUCGCCGCUCAAGCCCUCCUCACACAUGUGCUCGCCGCUCAAGCUCUCGUCACACCUGUGCCUGUCGCACCCUCAAACACGUCUCCCCUGAGCUUUCCGUGUAGUUCUCAGGUAUGUGUUUAUUUAUAUUUCUUUCACAAUUCAUUAUUCUCUCCCUCAAGGUAUUUAGGGUUUGUUUUAUUCUCCCUAUUUCUUGAUUCCAAUUCAUGAAAAGCUUAAAUUGCAAUUGGAAUCUAGCGAGCUUGAGAUGUGGAAAAUUGAAUUGGAAAAGCGUGAGACACAUAGUGAAAGUGAAAGAAGCAUCAAGGGUUGCUUUCUACCUCAGUGUUGUCAUGGGUAGCACAGGUGCUUUGCAGGGUUGUUCCCAUGUCUUUUGUGGAUGACAUUAUUGUACAUUGGUUUCCUUAAAGAAUGAGUUUUUAGGGUGAUGUGGUGUGAAAUUGGGUACCAAUUGUGGAAGAAAAAUAUGUUUUUUUCUUCUUGUUUUUUAUUUUCCCAGUUGGUGUGAGGGAAUGUAAAGUUUCUAUGUAGUGAGAGAGACACUUCAAGAACUGAAAAAUUGGAUUUUUCUUUGUGGGUUGUGGUCUUUUGCUUUUAGCAAUGUGGAUAGAAAUCAAUUGUUGAGGAAGCUGGUUUUUACUUAUGGUUUUUGGGAGUGGUGUCUUUGUUGUGGGGGUGGGGUGUGUUGCAGAAAUGAGUGACUCUGCGGUGUAGAAUUUGGCUAUCACGGAGAAGAAGGUGCAAAAGCCUGGUGGCUGUGUUGGGAUUUUCCUUCAGCUCAUUGAUUGGAAGAGGAGACUUGCCAAGAAAAAGAUCUUCUCUCAGAAACUUCUGACUCCUGGCUCGUGCAAAGAAGUUCAGGGGAGAUGAGAAAAUGCCAAAUUCCAAGCAACAUUUGUAGGAGCAUUGAAUGUUAGAAUGUUGCAACUUGCAAAUCUAGGUUGAGCUUUUGUGCAUUAGAGAGAGGAUCGGUGGGUUUCUAAAGACGUUGGUUAUUCUGGUCAUCCUAUAAAAGCUCAUUUGAUGAUUAAGUUUGACCAAACUAGACCAUUUGGAUAUGGGGAAUAUAUCUUCUUUGAGCUUGUGCCCCUUUUCUUGUGUCAUUUUGUAUUUUCAAUAUUUCUUUUGAUUGAAGCUUGCUUUCUACAUUUGCAGUUUUCUUCAAGGCUGUGUCAUUGACAUCCUAUCGCAACUGAUAUAACCAUUGGGUGGUUGUCAUUUUGGAUUUUGUGAUUUAGGUUGGUGAUGGAGUGUUUGAAGUGUUGUCUACUUCCGGUGAUACAUACUUAGGUGGUGAUGACUUCGAUUAGAAAAUUGUUGAUUGACUGGCUGCAAGCUUCCAGAGAUAUAAGGCCUUGUAAUAGCAGAUGAAGCGAUAUUGGGCCCUCCCGUUGGUCCCUGCAUUAAUGGAGACGAAGGUUGUAGCUUUCACUGUGCAUAUCUUAAGCAUCUUGGGGGUCGUUGUAAAUACGUUGGAAAAUCUAGGCUCUGUUGUUGUUAUAUAAAUUAAUGAUUUAUGGUGUACCCAAGAGUAAUAGAUGAAACUCAUAAAUAAAAGUAAACUCGAAUAAACUAUCGAUUAUGAGUAAAGUUUAAAAGAUUAUUUAUAAUACACAUGAACCUUUUUAAAGUUUAUUGAGAAAUAUAUACAGAG